Molecule: ribosomal RNA, 490 nt
Filed under: uncultured bacterium
Lineage: Bacteria
Description: partial 16S ribosomal RNA
Rfam family: Bacterial small subunit ribosomal RNA
Source: RNAcentral
AUUGAACGCUGGCGGCAUGCUUUACACAUGCAAGUCGGACGGCAGCGGGGUAGUGCUUGCACUACUGCCGGCGAGUGGCGAACGGGUGAGUAAUAUAUUGGAACGUACCGAGUAAUGGGGGAUAACCAAUCGAAAGAUUGGCUAAUACCGCAUACGCUCUGAGGAGGAAAGCAGGGGACCUUCGGGCCUUGCGUUAUUCGAGCGGCCAAUAUCUGAUUAGCUAGUUGGUGGGGUAAGGGCCUACCAAGGCGACGAUCGGUAGCGGGUCUGAGAGGAUGAUCCGCCACACUGGGACUGAGACACGGCCCAGACUCCUACGGGAGGCAGCAGUGGGGAAUUUUGGACAAUGGGCGCAAGCCUGAUCCAGCCAUGCCGCGUGUCUGAAGAAGGCCUUCGGGUUGUAAAGGACUUUUGUUAGGGAAGAAAAAGGAGCGGUUAAUACCCGUUUCUGCUGACGGUACCUAAAGAAUAAGCACCGGCUAACUACGUG